This 492-nucleotide ribosomal RNA is filed under the name uncultured bacterium. RNAcentral's name for it is "partial 16S ribosomal RNA". It matches the Rfam family "Bacterial small subunit ribosomal RNA", at positions 29 to 507 of the family's 1533-position model. The record is from RNAcentral.
AGUGAACGCUGGCGGUAGGCCUAACACAUGCAAGUCGAACGGCAGCACAGUAAGAGCUUGCUCUUACGGGUGGCGAGUGGCGGACGGGUGAGGAAUACAUCGGAAUCUACUUUUUCGUGGGGGAUAACGUAGGGAAACUUACGCUAAUACCGCAUACGACCUACGGGUGAAAGCAGGGGAUCUUCGGACCUUGCGCGAUUGAAUGAGCCGAUGUCGGAUUAACUAGUUGGCGGGGUAAAGGCCCACCAAGGCGACGAUCCGUAGCUGGUCUGAGAGGAUGAGCAGCCACACUGGAACUGAGACACGGUCCAGACUCCUACGGGAGGCAGCAGUGGGGAAUAUUGGACAAUGGGCGCAAGCCUGAUCCAGCCAUACCGCGUGGGUGAAGAAGGCCUUCGGGUUGUAAAGCCCUUUUGUUGGGAAAGAAAAGCAGCAGGUUAAUACCCCGCUGUUCUGACGGUACCCAAAGAAUAAGCACCGGCUAACUUCGUG